GAGUUUGAUCCUGGCUCAGGACGAACGCUGGCGGCGUGCCUAAUACAUGCAAGUAGAACGCUGAAGAGAGGAGCUUGCUCUUCUUGGAUGAGUUGCGAACGGGUGAGUAACGCGUAGGUAACCUGCCUUGUAGCGGGGGAUAACUAUUGGAAACGAUAGCUAAUACCGCAUAACAAUAGGUGACACAUGUCAUUUAUUUGAAAGGGGCAAUUGCUCCACUACAAGAUGGACCUGCGUUGUAUUAGCUAGUAGGUGAGGUAACGGCUCACCUAGGCGACGAUACAUAGCCGACCUGAGAGGGUGAUCGGCCACACUGGGACUGAGACACGGCCCAGGCUCCUACGGGAGGCAGCAGUAGGGAAUCUUCGGCAAUGGGGGCAACCCUGACCGAGCAACGCCGCGUGAGUGAAGAAGGUUUUCGGAUCGUAAAGCUCUGUUGUAAGUCAAGAACGAGUGUGAGAGUGGAAGGUUCACACUGUGACGGUAGCUUACCAGAAAGGGACGGCUAACUACGUGCCAGCAGCCGCGGUAAUACGUAGGUCCCGAGCGUUGUCCGGAUUUAUUGGGCGUAAAGCGAGCGCAGGCGGUUUGAUAAGUCUGAAGUUAAAGGCUGUGGCUCAACCAUAGUUCGCUUUGGAAACUGUCAAACUUGAGUGCAGAAGGGGAGAGUGGAAUUCCAUGUGUAGCGGUGAAAUGCGUAGAUAUAUGGAGGAACACCGGUGGCGAAAGCGGCUCUCUGGUCUGUAACUGACGCUGAGGCUCGAAAGCGUGGGGAGCGAACAGGAUUAGAUACCCUGGUAGUCCACGCCGUAAACGAUGAGUGCUAGGUGUUGGAUCCUUUCCGGGAUUCAGUGCCGCAGCUAACGCAUUAAGCACUCCGCCUGGGGAGUACGACCGCAAGGUUGAAACUCAAAGGAAUUGACGGGGGCCCGCACAAGCGGUGGAGCAUGUGGUUUAAUUCGAAGCAACGCGAAGAACCUUACCAGGUCUUGACAUCCCGAUGCUAUUUCUAGAGAUAGAAAGUUACUUCGGUACAUCGGUGACAGGUGGUGCAUGGUUGUCGUCAGCUCGUGUCGUGAGAUGUUGGGUUAAGUCCCGCAACGAGCGCAACCCCUAUUGUUAGUUGCCAUCAUUCAGUUGGGCACUCUAGCGAGACUGCCGGUAAUAAACCGGAGGAAGGUGGGGAUGACGUCAAAUCAUCAUGCCCCUUAUGACCUGGGCUACACACGUGCUACAAUGGUUGGUACAACGAGUUGCGAGUCGGUGACGGCAAGCUAAUCUCUUAAAGCCAAUCUCAGUUCGGAUUGUAGGCUGCAACUCGCCUACAUGAAGUCGGAAUCGCUAGUAAUCGCGGAUCAGCACGCCGCGGUGAAUACGUUCCCGGGCCUUGUACACACCGCCCGUC
This 1405-nucleotide ribosomal RNA is filed under the name uncultured bacterium. RNAcentral describes it as "bacterial SSU rRNA". It matches the Rfam family "Bacterial small subunit ribosomal RNA". The record is from RNAcentral.